This 460-nucleotide ribosomal RNA is filed under the name uncultured bacterium. RNAcentral describes it as "partial 16S ribosomal RNA". It matches the Rfam family "Bacterial small subunit ribosomal RNA", at positions 338 to 795 of the family's 1533-position model. The record is from RNAcentral.
CCUACGGGUGGCUGCAGUGAGGAAUAUUGGUCAAUGGGCGUAAGCCUGAACCAGCCAAGUCGCGUGAGGGAUGAAGGUUCUAUGGAUCGUAAACCUCUUUUAUAGGGGAAUAAAGUGUGGGACGUGUCCUAUUUUGUCUGUACCUUGUGAAUAAGGAUCGGCUAACUCCGUGCCAGCAGCCGCGGUAAUACGGAGGAUCCGAGCGUUAUCCGGAUUUAUUGGGUUUAAAGGGUGCGUAGGCGGCCUUGUAAGUCAGCGGUGAAAGUCUGUGGCUCAACCAUAGAAAUGCCGUUGAAACUGGGGGGCUUGAGUAGGUUUGAGGCAGGCGGAAUGCGUGGUGUAGCGGUGAAAUGCUUAGAUAUCACGCAGAACCCCGAUUGCGAAGGCAGCCUGCCAGGCCAUGACUGACGCUGAUGCACGAAAGCGUGGGGAUCAAACAGGAUUAGAUACCCGAGUAGUC